UGGGGAAUAUUGGACAAUGGGCGAAAGCCUGAUCCAGCCAUGCCGCGUGUGUGAAGAAGGCCUUUUGGUUGUAAAGCACUUUAAGUGGGGAGGAAAAGCUUAUGGUUAAUACCCAUAAGCCCUGACGUUACCCACAGAAUAAGCACCGGCUAACUCUGUGCCAGCAGCCGCGGUAAUACAGAGGGUGCAAGCGUUAAUCGGAAUUACUGGGCGUAAAGCGCGCGUAGGUGGUUAUUUAAGUCAGAUGUGAAAGCCCCGGGCUUAACCUGGGAACUGCAUCUGAUACUGGAUAACUAGAGUAGGUGAGAGGGGAGUAGAAUUCCAGGUGUAGCGGUGAAAUGCGUAGAGAUCUGGAGGAAUACCGAUGGCGAAGGCAGCUCCCUGGCAUCAUACUGACACUGAGGUGCGAAAGCGUGGGUAGCAAACAGGAUUAGAUACCCUGGUAGUCCACGCCGUAAACGAUGUCUACCAGUCGUUGGGUCUUUUAAAGACUUAGUGACGCAGUUAACGCAAUAAGUAGACCGCCUGGGGAGUACGACCGCAAGGUUA
This 549-nucleotide ribosomal RNA is filed under the name uncultured bacterium. RNAcentral's name for it is "bacterial SSU rRNA". It matches the Rfam family "Bacterial small subunit ribosomal RNA", at positions 355 to 896 of the family's 1533-position model. The record is from RNAcentral.